UAGGGAAUCUUCCGCAAUGGACGAAAGUCUGACGGAGCAACGCCGCGUGAGUGAAGAAGGAUUUCGGUUCGUAAAACUCUGUUGUUAGGGAAGAAAAAAUGUAUAGUAACUAUAUACAAAAGAGACGGUACCUAACCAGAAAGCCACGGCUAACUACGUGCCAGCAGCCGCGGUAAUACGUAGGUGGCAAGCGUUGUCCGGAAUUAUUGGGCGUAAAGCGAGCGCAGGCGGUUAGAAAAGUCUGAAGUGAAAGGCAGUGGCUCAACCAUUGUAGGCUUUGGAAACUGUUUAACUUGAGUGCAGAAGGGGAGAGUGGAAUUCCAUGUGUAGCGGUGAAAUGCGUAGAUAUAUGGAGGAACACCGGUGGCGAAAGCGGCUCUCUGGUCUGUAACUGACGCUGAGGCUCGAAAGCGUGGGGAGCGAACAGG
Molecule: ribosomal RNA, 428 nt
Filed under: Verrucomicrobiota bacterium
Lineage: Bacteria; Pseudomonadati; Verrucomicrobiota
Description: Verrucomicrobia bacterium partial 16S ribosomal RNA
Rfam family: Bacterial small subunit ribosomal RNA
Source: RNAcentral